AAUGAACGCUGGCGGCGCGCCUAAUACAUGCAAGUCGAGCGAGAAGACGUAACAAUACGUUUGUAAAGCGGCGAACGGGUGAGGAAUACAUGGGUAACCUACCCUCGAGUGGGGAAUAACUAGCCGAAAGGUUAGCUAAUACCGCGUACGCUCCUUGGACUUCGGUUCAGGGAGGAAAGCGAUACCGUGGGUAUCGCGCUCUUGGUUGGGCUCAUGUCCUAUCAGCUUGUUGGUGAGGAACGGCUCACCAAGGCUUCGACGGGUAGCUGGUCUGAGAGGACGAUCGGCCACACUGGCACUGCGACACGGGCCAGACUCCUACGGGAGGCAGCAGUAAGGAAUAUUGCGCAAUGGGCGAAAGCCUGACGCAGCGACGCCGCGUGGGGGA
Molecule: ribosomal RNA, 388 nt
Filed under: uncultured bacterium
Lineage: Bacteria
Description: bacterial SSU rRNA
Rfam family: Bacterial small subunit ribosomal RNA
Source: RNAcentral